GACGAACGCUGGCGGCGUGCUUAACACAUGCAAGUCGAACGGAAAGGCCCUGCUUUUGUGGGGUGCUCGAGUGGCGAACGGGUGAGUAACACGUGAGUAACCUGCCCUUGACUAUGGGAUAACUUCAGGAAACUGGGGCUAAUACCGGAUAGGAGCUCCUGCUGCAUGGUGGGGGUUGGAAAGUUUCGGCGGUUGGGGAUGGACUCGCGGCGUAUCAGCUUGGUGGUGGGGUAGUGGCUUACCAAUGCUUUGACGGGUAGCCGGCCUGAGAGGGUGACCGGCCACAUUGGGACUGAGAUACGGCCCAGACUCCUACGGGAGGCAGCAGUGGAGAAUAUUGCACAAUGGGCGGAAGCCUGAUGCAGCAACGCCGCGUGCGGGAUGACGGCCUUCGGGUUGUAAACCGCUUUCGCCUGUGACGAAGCGUGAGUGACGGUAAUGGGUAAAGAAGCACCGGCUAACUACGUG
RNAcentral lists this ribosomal RNA (468 nucleotides) under uncultured bacterium. RNAcentral's name for it is "partial 16S ribosomal RNA". It matches the Rfam family "Bacterial small subunit ribosomal RNA", at positions 28 to 507 of the family's 1533-position model. The record is from RNAcentral.